UUCAAGUGAUUCUCCUGCCUCAGCCUUCUGAGUAGCUGGGACUACAGGCAAGAUGCUGUUUUAGGACCAGAAAUCUCCCAGGGGUGUGCAGAUCAACAGUAAUCCCAGUCUGCCCUCCAUCGUCGGAAUAGAAUCAGAGGGAGGGAAAAUCCGCCUUUGGAUCUCUGGACCAUGAUCUUUCCAGCAGGUCACAGGUGCUUAGGCCGAAAAUCAGGAAUCUCUUGAAUGAAUGCAUGAAGGUGGAGCCCUUUCCCUUAAUGCGCAGGUGAAAAGGGCACCUCGGUGGAUUCUACUAAAUUUAAUAGAAGACCCAAGACGGGGUGGGGGAGACGUGCUUUGUGCUCACCUGGCUGGUUCAUGGGCAGGUGGCCUGGAGGACCCAGCCCUGGCAGCUGUGGGGUAGCUCCAGCCUGGGCCGGACAGCUUCUUUCAUCGCAGGCACCACUGCGGACAUUGCUGGGAGGAAGAGGAGGGAGAAGCGACGGGCUUCAUUAGGAACGGAAAUGCCAAGAUUAGUGAAAGAAUGAAAAGAGUCAAAACAGCCUAGAAAAGGCUUCAAUGAUCCUCAAACUGGAUGAUCGAAUCCCGAAUAAUUGGGAAUCAACAGUAAAGGCCAAAGCUUUCGAUGGAUUGGACGAGGCGCGUCCACCCUGGGGAGGGCCAUCAUUUUAUUCAGUCUACUGAUGCAAAUGCUUAUCUCUUCUGGAAACACCUUCACAGACAGACCCAGAAUAUAGUUGAACCAAAUACUGGGCACCUCAUGGCUCCAACAGGUUGACACAAAAAAUGAACCAUUGCAGAAAACGAAGAACAGUCACCAACUCCCACCCAUGCAGCUGGCUCAUUUGCUGGGCUGCCCUCCCCAGCAGGUGGCACAGGAAUCCCUGCCUUGGCAGGGAGGAGGCCUGGGGUGUGUGCAGGUACCCAUGGGAAGUUUCUUUGCCAUGGGGAAAGCCAGAGUCACCCCUUGCUUGAACACAAGAGUUGGAGGUUUCAGUGAGCUGAGAUUACGCUAUUGCACUCCAGCCUGGGCGGCAGAGUGAGACUCUGUCUCUAGAUAAAUAAAUUAAAUAAAUAAAUAAAUAUAAUUUAAUAUAAA
Molecule: long non-coding RNA, 1099 nt
Filed under: Homo sapiens (human)
Lineage: Eukaryota; Metazoa; Chordata; Mammalia; Primates; Hominidae
Description: HSALNT0406255
Source: RNAcentral